Paramuricea clavata is the source of this 1291-nucleotide non-coding RNA. Lineage: Eukaryota; Metazoa; Cnidaria; Anthozoa; Malacalcyonacea; Plexauridae. The record is from the annotation of a GenBank genome assembly.
CUUCUCCUGAUGAGUUUGUUAACGAAAACACCCAGCAUAUGCUUUUGGAUUUCGAUGUGGAUCAUAUAUUGACAGCGAAUAGUAUUGAUGAUGAACAUUCAGAUGAUGAACAUUGGUUCUCAGAUGAGUCUGAAGGUAUAUUGUUAUUCAGUUAUUUGUAUGGUUUUAUAAAUUUUUGCUGAGUGUGAUGCCUGUUUGCAUCUAGUUGUGGGUGGUUGUUUAAAUGUGGAAACUGUAAUUUAAUAUUUUUUUUAAAAUUUUCAUCUAAAUAUUGCUGUUUGUAUAUUUUUUGCUAAUUUUAGAGAUGACAAUGUAUCUUUGAUACAUAAUAAUUUCCUUGUUAUGAUUUUGUAGAAAGAGAUUUACUUGAGUGGUUGGCUGGUCUUGAACCUGUCCAAGAUGUAUAUGAUAAUGAAAGAGGUGAUCAAGGUGAUAGGGCAGAAAGAGAUGACAAGUUAAGUGAUGAAGACGAAAGUGAUGGGGAGGAAGAAAUCGCCCACUCUGUACCAUUCAAGUGCAUCGGUGCUGCUCAUGAGAAAAACUACUGACAUCAUUUGGAAAAUUAAGGCAUAAUACCUCGCUCUUCAUGAACAAGAUAAAACAGUGAAUUCAAUGUAAGAAUACGGCCAGCACCAUUGAAUCCAAGGGACCGAAGUGCAAUAGCCAAUUCCAGCUUUUAGAUUAUGUGUGCAGGGGGUGAUGGUAUCAUAUUGCUGAUAAUGCUGAAAAAUAGAAAUGGUAGCCAUGUAAACAUGGAGUGAUAGCUAUUGUAAAUAUUGAAAUAUUUUGGUUGUUUAGGCAGUUUAUUAAAAAUUUUCAGCAUAAUCAGGAAUAUGAUACCUUACUUCCCGUCACCCUCUGCAUGCAUAAAUUAAAAGCUGGAAUUGCCUAUUGAUCUAGACUAUGGAACUGUAUGGACACAUGUUGUUUAUAUUGCUUCUGAACUAUGCAAGUAUUUGCACCCACUAAUUGCUGCAGGAGAUGUCCUGGAUGUCUAUGUUCUGUGUAUCAAGUAUAGGGUUGACUUUUUUAAAAUAGGAUUUUAUCCAAAAAUUUUCAUAAAGACACCUGGUGAGUGGAGACUCGAGUAGUAGGAAAAAGCAUGAGUGUAUGUUGACAUAUGUUUUUUAUAUAAUAAAUAGCAACUACCAUAGGUAUGUUUAGCAAGUUAUUAGUGCAUUUAUUUCAAUUGGCUAACUUUUUUAGUUUUUCCAGCAUUUUUUAAACAAAUCAUAGGUUAUGAAUGAUAACUGGGUAUAUCUAAUUAAAACAAUCUGUCAUGUACACUCAU